AAAUUGAAGAGUUUGAUCAUGGCUCAGAUUGAACGCUGGCGGCAGGCCUAACACAUGCAAGUCGAACGGUAACAGGAAGCAGCUUGCUGCUUUGCUGACGAGUGGCGGACGGGUGAGUAAUGUCUGGGAAACUGCCUGAUGGAGGGGGAUAACUACUGGAAACGGUGGCUAAUACCGCAUAACGUCGCAAGACCAAAGAGGGGGACCUUUGGGCCUCUUGCCAUCAGAUGUGCCCAGAUGGGAUUAGCUUGUUGGUGGGGUAACGGCUCACCAAGGCGACGAUCCCUAGCUGGUCUGAGAGGAUGACCAGCCACACUGGAACUGAGACACGGUCCAGACUCCUACGGGAGGCAGCAGUGGGGAAUAUUGCACAAUGGGCGCAAGCCUGAUGCAGCCAUGCCGCGUGUAUGAAGAAGGCCUUCGGGUUGUAAAGUACUUUCAGCGGGGAGGAAGGUGUUGUGGUUAAUAACCGCAGCAAUUGACGUUACCCGCAGAAGAAGCACCGGCUAACUCCGUGCCAGCAGCCGCGGUAAUACGGAGGGUGCAAGCGUUAAUCGGAAUUACUGGGCGUAAAGCGCACGCAGGCGGUCUGUCAAGUCGGAUGUGAAAUCCCCGGGCUCAACCUGGGAACUGCAUUCGAAACUGGCAGGCUUGAGUCUUGUAGAGGGGGGUAGAAUUCCAGGUGUAGCGGUGAAAUGCGUAGAGAUCUGGAGGAAUACCGGUGGCGAAGGCGGCCCCCUGGACAAAGACUGACGCUCAGGUGCGAAAGCGUGGGGAGCAAACAGGAUUAGAUACCCUGGUAGUCCACGCCGUAAACGAUGUCUACUUGGAGGCUGUGCCCUUGAGGCGUGGCUUCCGGAGCUAACGCGUUAAGUAGACCGCCUGGGGAGUACGGCCGCAAGGUUAAAACUCAAAUGAAUUGACGGGGGCCCGCACAAGCGGUGGAGCAUGUGGUUUAAUUCGAUGCAACGCGAAGAACCUUACCUGGUCUUGACAUCCACGGAAGGUCUCAGAGAUGAGACUGUGCCUUCGGGAACCGUGAGACAGGUGCUGCAUGGCUGUCGUCAGCUCGUGUUGUGAAAUGUUGGGUUAAGUCCCGCAACGAGCGCAACCCUUAUCCUUUGUUGCCAGCGGUCAGGCCGGGAACUCAAAGGAGACUGCCAGUGAUAAACUGGAGGAAGGUGGGGAUGACGUCAAGUCAUCAUGGCCCUUACGACCAGGGCUACACACGUGCUACAAUGGCGCAUACAAAGAGAAGCGACCUCGCGAGAGCAAGCGGACCUCAUAAAGUGCGUCGUAGUCCGGAUUGGAGUCUGCAACUCGACUCCAUGAAGUCGGAAUCGCUAGUAAUCGUGGAUCAGAAUGCCACGGUGAAUACGUUCCCGGGCCUUGUACACACCGCCCGUCACACCAUGGGAGUGGGUUGCAAAAGAAGUAGGUAGCUUAACCUUCGGGAGGGCGCUUACCACUUUGUGAUUCAUGACUGGGGUGAAGUCGUAACAAGGUAACCGUAGGGGAACCUGCGGUUGGAUCACCUCCUUACCUUAAAGAAGC
RNAcentral lists this ribosomal RNA (1554 nucleotides) under Salmonella enterica. RNAcentral's name for it is "bacterial SSU rRNA". It matches the Rfam family "Bacterial small subunit ribosomal RNA". The record is from RNAcentral. Lineage: Bacteria; Pseudomonadati; Pseudomonadota; Gammaproteobacteria; Enterobacterales; Enterobacteriaceae.